AUACUUACCUGGCAGGGAAGAUACCUUGAUGAUGAAGGUGGUUUUCCCAGGGUGAGGCUCUCCCAUUGCACUCCGGGUGUUCUGACUCCUGCGAUUUCCCCAAAUGUGGGAAACUUGACUGCAUAAUUUGUAGUAGCGGGGGACUGUGUGCGAGCUUUCCCCUA
Small nuclear RNA from Phacochoerus africanus (Common warthog), 164 nucleotides. RefSeq annotates it as U1 spliceosomal RNA. The transcript has a single exon. NCBI's taxonomy places the organism in Eukaryota, Metazoa, Chordata, Mammalia, Artiodactyla, Suidae. The record is from RefSeq and is a predicted model, not a curated record.